This 406-nucleotide ribosomal RNA is filed under the name uncultured bacterium. RNAcentral describes it as "partial 16S ribosomal RNA". It matches the Rfam family "Bacterial small subunit ribosomal RNA", at positions 30 to 526 of the family's 1533-position model. The record is from RNAcentral.
AUUGAACGCUGGCGGCAGGCCUAACACAUGCAAGUCGAACGAGUGGCGGACGGGUGAGUAAUGUCUGGGAAACUGGCUGAUGGAGGGGGAUAACUACUGGAAACGGUAGCUAAUACCGCAUACCAUCAGAUGUGCCCAGUGGGGAUUAGGUUGUUGGUGGGGUAAAGGCUCACCAAGGCGACGAUCACUAGCUGGUCUGAGAGGAUGACAAUCCACACUGGAACUCAUACACGGUCCAGACUCCUACGGGAGGCAGCAGUGGGGAAUAUUGACCAAUGGGCGCAAGCCUGAUGCAGCCAUGCCGCUUGUAUGAAGAAGGCCUUCGGGUUGUAAAGUACUUUCAGCUGGGAGGCGUUACCCGCAGAAGAAGCACCGGCUAACUCCGUGCCAGCAGCCGCGGUAAUAC